AAAGGGAUAGUCCUGAAUCAAUUUGUUAUAGCUUCAAGACAUUUAGAGUGAAGAAUUAAGGAUUUAUCCUUCAUCAGGGUGCAGGAGCAACUAAGGUUAUUGAGAAAAUGUGGAGAUUGAAGAUAGCAGAUGGAGGGAAGAGUCCUUACAUAUUCAGCACAAACAACUUUUUAGGAAGGCAAAUAUGGGAGUAUGAUUCUGAAGCAGGAACUGAUGAAGAACGAGCACAGGUUGAAGCAGCUCGUCAACAUUUCUAUCAAAAUCGCUUUGAGCAAAAGGCAUGUGCCGAUCGACUUUGGCGAUUUCAGAUUUUGAGGGAAAAAGAAUUCAAACAAACAAUAAGCAAAGUGAAGAUAGAAGAUGAUGAGGAAAUUACAUGGGAGAAGGCUACUCUGACCAUAAAGAGGGCUUCUCAUUACCUUUCUGCACUGCAAACUAGUGAUGGUCAUUGGCCUGCUCAACUCGGGGGUUCUAACUUCUUUGUUCCUGUAAUGAUCAUCUCCAUCUACAGUACAGGACAUCUUGAUACUGUAAUUUCAAAAGAACAUCGUAAAGAAAUUCUCCGUUACUUGUAUAAUCAUCAGAACGAAGAUGGAGGGUGGGGAUUACACAUAGAAGGUCCAAGCACCAUGUAUUGUACCGCUCUCAAUUACGUAACUAUGAGAAUUCUUGGAGAAGGACCCAACGGAGGUCAUAACAACGCUUGCGCUAAAGCCAGACAGUGGAUUCAUGAUCAUGGUACCAUAACACUUAUGCCUUCGUGGGGGAAAUUUUGGCUUUCGGUACUUGGUAUUGUUGAUUGGAGUGGAUGCAAUCCAAUGCCUCCUGAAUUUUGGAUACUUCCUACUUUUCUCCCCAUGCAUCCUGCUAAAAUGUGGUAUUAUUGUCGACAUGUUUACAUGCCCAUGUCAUAUAUAUAUGGGAAAAGAUUCGUGUGUCCAGUCACUCCAUUAAUCACGGAUUUGAGAGAAGAACUCUUUACUGAACCUUACGAUGAAAAUACUUGGAAAAAAGCUCGACACAAAUGUGCAAAGGAAGAUCUGUAUUAUCCGCAUCACUGGAUACAAGAUUUAAUAUGGGACAGUGCUUAUUUUUUGACUGAGCCACUUCUCAGUCGCUGGCCUUUCAAUAAGAUCAGAGAAAAGGCACUUGAUGUGGCAAUUAAAGGUAUUCACUACGAAGAUGAAAAUACUCGAUACAUACAUGGUGGCUGUAUCAACAAGUCUUGCUCUUUGCUUGCUUCUUGGGUACACGAUCCAAAUGGAGAUUCCUUUAAGAAGCAUCUUGCAAGAGUCCCAGAUUAUUUGUGGCUUUCAGAAGAUGGAAUGUGUGUACAGGGACUUAACACGCAAACAUGGGAUGCUGGUUUCGCCGUUCAAGCUUUUCUCGCUACGGGUCUAAUUGAUGAACUUGGUCCAACUCUUGAAAAAGCACAUGAUUUUAUCAAGAAAUCUCAGGUAGUAGAAAAUCGUCCAGGAGAUUUUAAGAGUAGCUUUCAUCACUUUUCUAAAGGAGCAUGGACCCUUGCUGACAGAGACCACGGAUUACAACUUUCUGAUGGCACUGCAGAAUGUCUCAAGUGUUGUUUACUUUUAUCGAUGUUGCCAGAAGAGAUUGUUGGAGAAAAAUUGGAACCUGAACGGUUAUAUGACACUGUCAAUUUUCUGUUGUCCCUUCAGAGCAAAAAUGGAGGUUUGACAGUGUGGGAACCAGCGUUAGGUCAAAAGUGGUUGGAAAAUUUGAAUCCGGCGGAAUUUCUUGCUGACAUAGUGGUUGAGCACGAGUAUAUUGAGUGUACUGGAUCAACAAUUCAAGCUUUAGUAUUGUUCAAAAAACUAUAUCCAAAUCAUAGAAGGGAAGAGAUAGAGAGGUUGAUUGUGAAAGCGGCUAAGUACAUUGAAGAUGAACAAUCACCAAAUGGAACUUGGAUUGGGAUCUGGGGAGUUUGUUUCACAUACUGUUCCUGUUUCGCACUUGGAGGUUUAGCUGCUGCCGGAAAGACUUACACUAACUGCGCCGCCAUUCGUAAAGCUGUCAAAUUUCUACUCUCAAAACAGAACGAGGAUGGUGGUUGGGGAGAAAGUUAUCUCUCAUGUCAUAUGAAGACGUACGCACCUCUUGAAGGGAAUCGAUCAAAUGUAUGUCAAACAGCUUGGGUUCUAAUGGCUUUAAUUCAUGCCGGACAGGCUGAGAGAGAUCCAACACCUCUUCAUCGUGCUGCAAAGUUACUCAUUAAUUCUCAAUUAGAAGAUGGCGAUUGGCCCCCACAAGAGGCCGUGGGGGCGUACAAGGGUAGUUGCUUGCUUCAUUACUCAUUGUAUAGAAAUUAUUUUUCAUUAUGGGCUUUGAGUGACUACCGUAACAAAGUUUUAGUGCCUUCGACUACUCCUAAACUUGAGAAGUCGUAAGAUGAGAAAGACAAUGCCAUACCAUACAAAUAUCCUACAAAUAAAAUCAAAAUGAAUCUUAUGGAGUCUUUGAUAUGAUUAUCUCAGAUGGUGGAAAUCUAGUUUUACAAGAAAUGGAUGGCAAUGUUGUGAGGAUGAAGCUCUGGGGUGUAUGCAACAUUCCUCUCUACAACAAUAUAUGAUUUGGAGAAU
Vigna umbellata (rice bean) is the source of this 2600-nucleotide RNA transcript. It is a transcript of the gene named beta-amyrin synthase-like, with no coding region annotated. Lineage: Eukaryota; Viridiplantae; Streptophyta; Magnoliopsida; Fabales; Fabaceae. The record is from RefSeq and is a predicted model, not a curated record.